GGCUGAACGUGACGAGAAGCUGUUCAGCCGUUUUAGUGUCGCCAGUUUUGCGCUUUUCUACGAGAAACGAUUCGGGUGAAUUUUUGGGGAGAUAAGCUUGUAAACCAUGGAUGCAGAUCAUCUUUAAAAUCGGGAAACUGAAUGCGUUAGAAAAAAACGGGAACUGCGCUGGACCUCAAGUGACAGGUGUGAGCAAUCCAGUCCCCCCAAAAAAUAGAUGAACCAGAUUACCAGUGUCCUUCAGUGUCUCCCCAGUCACAGGAUCUGAAUCUAAUAAAACACCUUUGGGAUGUAGCACAACAGCUCUGAUUCAGGUGCUCACAUGUGUGGAACAGUUGAAGAGUCAGGUAUCUGACCUGAACCGGAAGGUUGACGUGCUGCUCCGGCAGAACAGCUCUCUGCUGAGUGAUGAUGAUGAUGAUGUGGAAGAUGUCCAGGCUGGUUUGCCACUGUGGACGUUCGAGGACGUGGAAGUGCUGGAGCAGAAACUGCAAGAUGAGAUGUAUAACAAGCUACUGGUUACAACAGCUGAUGUGCUGUCUGCUUCAGUGCAGGAGGUCCAGCUCUCAUCUGUAGUAAGUAACUUGCUUUUCUGUAACUUGCCUUCAAAAUAAAAGUCUAAAAACUUUGCCAGAGCCAGUUUAAGGGGAGCCUGCCCUGCUGGAAAAAGAUCAACAGAACCAUUAGGAUUAAACCUGAGUUUUUUUUUUUUUGUUUGUUUUUUUUUUGUUGCUUUCUAAUGGGAACUGGCUUAAUGGUUACAAUUUGACACCUCUAGUUCCCUGUAGGACACAUUUUGACCCCUUCACAUGUAUCUGUAGUCAGUCCCAGAAC
Molecule: long non-coding RNA, 834 nt
Organism: Pygocentrus nattereri (red-bellied piranha)
Lineage: Eukaryota; Metazoa; Chordata; Actinopteri; Characiformes; Serrasalmidae
Source: Ensembl